This is a long non-coding RNA of Labeo rohita (rohu), 422 nucleotides long. RefSeq lists it as uncharacterized. The record is from RefSeq and is a predicted model, not a curated record. NCBI's taxonomy places the organism in Eukaryota, Metazoa, Chordata, Actinopteri, Cypriniformes, Cyprinidae. The transcript is spliced from 4 exons.
GUCCUGGGGCUUAUAGAUGUCUGGUGCUCAAAAACGAAUCACUGCUUUGAAGAGCUGCUUGAACACUGCACAAAGACUUUGAUGCUAAAUCUGCUUACCACAUCACUACAAAAUCUCACUACAUCUGCAACAAUGAACUUCGGCCCUUGGGGGAUGAUGAAUCCGAUGUUUAACCAGAUGGUGGCUUUUCGGUAUGGACCACAGCCAUAUUUCUGUAAUGGUAACGUACCUUUCGGUGGGAUGCCUUGUCCACAGAUGAAUAUGAUGGUUCCAUCAACCCCAUUCCAAGGUGACAUCAUGCCUUCCUAUCCAAAUAAUGGCCACAUAACUCGCUAUAUACCCGAUACAGGAAAGGGUGCUCGCAAACAAACAAUAGUCUUUCAGAAUGGCGGUGUUUUGUAUGUUGAAGAUGUCAAAUAUAA